RNAcentral lists this transfer RNA (74 nucleotides) under Bacteroidales bacterium. RNAcentral describes it as "tRNA-Met". It matches the Rfam family "tRNA". Rfam says of the family: Transfer RNA (tRNA) molecules are approximately 80 nucleotides in length. The record is from RNAcentral. Lineage: Bacteria; Pseudomonadati; Bacteroidota; Bacteroidia; Bacteroidales.
UGCGGAGUAGGGAAGCGGUCAUCCCGUUUGGCUCAUAACCAAAAGAUCAGUGGUUCGAAUCCACUCUCACGCAA